Molecule: transfer RNA, 73 nt
Filed under: Jonquetella anthropi DSM 22815
Lineage: Bacteria; Thermotogati; Synergistota; Synergistia; Synergistales; Dethiosulfovibrionaceae
Rfam family: tRNA
About the family: Transfer RNA (tRNA) molecules are approximately 80 nucleotides in length. Their secondary structure includes four short double-helical elements and three loops (D, anti-codon, and T loops). Further hydrogen bonds mediate the characteristic L-shaped molecular structure. tRNAs have two regions of fundamental functional importance: the anti-codon, which is responsible for specific mRNA codon recognition, and the 3' end, to which the tRNAs corresponding amino acid is attached (by aminoacyl-tRNA synthetases). tRNAs cope with the degeneracy of the genetic code in two manners: having more than one tRNA (with a specific anti-codon) for a particular amino acid; and 'wobble' base-pairing, i.e. permitting non-standard base-pairing at the 3rd anti-codon position.
Source: Rfam by way of RNAcentral
GGCCCCGUAGCUCAGCGGAUAGAGCGGCUGCCUCCUAAGCAGCAGGUCGAGGGUUCGAGUCCCGCCGGGGUCG